UACGGAGGGUGCAAACGUUGCUCGGAAUCAUUGGGCGUAAAGCGCACGUAGGCGGCCUGAUAAGUCGGGUGUGAAAGCCCUGGGCUCAACCCAGGAAGUGCACUCGAAACUGUCAGGCUUGAAUAUGGAAGAGGGUCGCGGAAUUCCCGGUGUAGAGGUGAAAUUCGUAGAUAUCGGGAGGAACACCAGUGGCGAAGGCGGCGAUCUGGGAAGAUACUGACGCUGAGGUGCGAAAGCGUGGGGAGCAAACAGG
This 253-nucleotide ribosomal RNA is filed under the name uncultured bacterium. Its description in RNAcentral is "partial 16S ribosomal RNA". It matches the Rfam family "Bacterial small subunit ribosomal RNA", at positions 524 to 776 of the family's 1533-position model. The record is from RNAcentral.